Long non-coding RNA from Oncorhynchus gorbuscha (pink salmon), 2091 nucleotides. RefSeq lists it as uncharacterized. NCBI's taxonomy places the organism in Eukaryota, Metazoa, Chordata, Actinopteri, Salmoniformes, Salmonidae. The record is from RefSeq and is a predicted model, not a curated record. The transcript has 2 exons.
AGGUUCCAGGUAAGGGAUGAGUACGUUCUGGAGUUAGUUAUUACGUAGGUUCCAGGUAAGGGAUGAGUACGUUCUGGAGUUAGUUAUUACGUAGGUUCCAGGUAAGGGAUGAGUACGUUCUGGAGUUAGUUAUUACGUAGGUUCCAGGUAAGGGAUGAGUACGUUCUGAAGUUAGUUAUUACGUAGGUUCCAGGUAAGGGAUGAGUACGUUCUGAAGUUAGUUAUUACGUAGGUUCCAGGUAAGGGAUGAGUACGUUCUGGAGUUAGUUAUCACGUAGGUUCCAGGUAAGGGAUGUGUACGUUCUGGAGUUAGUUAUUACGUAGGUUCCAGGUAAGGGAUGAGUACGUUCUGAAGUUAGUUAUUACGUAGGUUCCAGGUAAGGGAUGAGUACGUUCUGGAAUUAGUUAUUACGUAGGUUCCAGGUAAGGGAUGAGUACAUUCUGGAGUUAGUUAUUACGUAGGUUCCAGGUAAGGGAUGAGUACAUUCUGGAGUUAGUUAUUACGUAGGUUCCAGGUAAGGGAUGAGUACGUUCUGGAGUUAGUUAUUACGUAGGUUCCAGGUAAGGGAUGAGUACAUUCUGGAGCUAGUUAUUAGUAAAAAGAUCCAGGGUGAAAUCAGAGUCAGAUGAAUUGAGCUUGAGAUGGGACGGGAGGUAGGAUGGGUAUGUGCAUGCGUGUGCACUUGUGUGUGUAUGUGUGCGUGCGCAUCUGCGUGUGUGUGUGUGUGUUACGUGGACAGUGAACAGAGCAGGUAGAGGUAGGGUCGUCGUUAGGUAGGGCAACGCACUACAAUUCCUCCCUGUACUCUUAGAAAAAAAGGUGCUAUCUAGAACCUGAAAGGGUUUUUCGGCUGUCCCAAUAGGAGAACCCUUUGAAGAACCCUUUUUGGGUUCCAAGUAUAACCCUUUUAGUUCUAGGUAGAACCCUUUCGGGUUCCAUGUAGAACCCUUUUUACAGAGGGUUCUACAUGGAACUUAAAAGGGUUCUACCUGGAACUAAAAAGGGUUCUCCUAUGGGGAGAGCCGAAGAACCCUUUUGGAACCUGUUUUUCUGUGUGUGGUAUAAUUGUGUUAACAUUCUAUUUCAUCUUAUCGUUUUACAAACUGUUGGACUAUAAAACUGCAGCCAUUCAUUUGCCUGGUGUUGAAAUGCCAUACUAUAUAUAUAUCUAGGCGUUUGGUGAACCUUUCUGUGGUCAAAAUUACACAAAAUGGCUGGUUAGACACUGGGGAACAUUGGGGAACAUUGGGGAACCAAGAGACAGGUACCUCUCUAUGCAUUGUGUCUCUCUUUUAAAUGUAGAUUAUGGUGCAACAACUUGCCAGGAUCUACAAAAUGACAUUCAUUAAUGACAAGAAGUAUACAGCAUUGUAUAGAAACUAUUUUUAAUCACAGGAUAUUUUAUCCAGAGAGUUAUUUUAUUAUCAUAUUGAAUAACCUAGAAGAGGAAUGAUGGUGAAACUGAAAGACAUUUCAUAUCAGAGUCUAUAAUAAUAUCAUGAUUGAACUGAACUGGCUGAUGCUAAACGUGACGGUGCAUUCUUAGAAUGCAUCCCAAAUGGCACCCAUAUUCCCUACCUAGUGCACUACCCCAUAGGGCUCUGGUCAAAAGUAGUGCACUACAUAGGGAAUAAAAGGGGGCCAUUUCUGACUCAUGUUAGAAUAUGAACGUUAAACUAUAUGGUGUCAAAAUCCACCUUGAGUAGAUAUUUGGGAUCCUCUGAAGUCAUUUUUAAUUGUUCAUAUGGAUUAGUAACAGUAGUUUGACAUAAUCUGUAUGCAGCCAAAACAAAUAUAUAGAUUAUAUUUUGAUGAUUUGUGUUCCCAUUGCAAGUGUCUUUCAACUUUCGGUAAAGUAGCAAUGUAGCCAUUUUCCCCCAGGCCAGGACCACAAACUAAAGACAUUGGUUUGUCUGAGUCCAGGCCCCACAGACUAAAGACAUUGGUUCGUCUGAGGCCAGGCCCCACAAACUAAAGACAUUGGUUUGUCUGAGGCCAGGCCCCACAGACUAAAGACAUUGGUUUGUCUGAGGCCAGGCCCCACAGACUAAAGACAUUGGUUCGUCUGAGGCCAGGCCCCACAAACUAAA